AGAGUUUGAUCCUGGCUCAGAUUGAACGCUGGCGGAAUGCUUUACACAUGCAAGUCGAACGGCAGCACGGGGCAACCUGGUGGCGAGUGGCGAACGGGUGAGUAAUACAUCGGAACGUGCCCAAUCGUGGGGGAUAACGUAGCGAAAGUUACGCUAAUACCGCAUACGAUCUACGGAUGAAAGCGGGGGAUCGCAAGACCUCGCGCGAAUGGAGCGGCCGAUGUCAGAUUAGGUAGUUGGUGGGGUAAAGGCUCACCAAGCCAACGGUCUGUAGCUGGUCUGAGAGGACGACCAGCCACACUGGAACUGAGACACGGUCCAGACUCCUACGGGAGGCAGCAGUGGGGAAUUUUGGACAAUGGGCGCAAGCCUGAUCCAGCCAUUCCGCGUGCAGGAUGAAGGCCUUCGGGUUGUAAACUGCUUUUGUACGGAACGAAAAGGUCCUGGUUAAUACCUGGGGCUCAUGACGGUACCGUAAGAAUAAGCACCGGCUAACUACGUG
Molecule: ribosomal RNA, 502 nt
Filed under: uncultured bacterium
Lineage: Bacteria
Description: bacterial SSU rRNA
Rfam family: Bacterial small subunit ribosomal RNA
Source: RNAcentral